This 796-nucleotide ribosomal RNA is filed under the name uncultured bacterium. Its description in RNAcentral is "bacterial SSU rRNA". It matches the Rfam family "Bacterial small subunit ribosomal RNA", at positions 115 to 916 of the family's 1533-position model. The record is from RNAcentral.
ACGUGGAUAACCUUCCUUCAGGUGGGGAAUAACCCAGUGAAAAUUGGGCUAAUACCGCAUAACAUGACGAUGGCUCAUGCCGUUGUCUUCAAAGGCGCAAGUCGCCAGAAGAGGGAUCCGCGGCCGAUUAGCUAGUUGGCGAGGUAAUGGCUCACCAAGGCAUUGAUCGGUAGCCGGACUGAGAGGUUGGCCGGCCACACUGGAACUGAGACACGGUCCAGACUCCUACGGGAGGCAGCAGUGGGGAAUCUUGCACAAUGGACGAAAGUCUGAUGCAGCAACGCCGCGUGGGGGAUGAAGCUUUUCGGAGUGUAAACCCCUUUCGACCCGGAAGAAAGCCCGCAAGGGUUUGACGGUACGGGUAUAAGAAGCCCCGGCUAACUACGUGCCAGCAGCCGCGGUAAAACGUAGGGGGCCAGCGUUGCUCGGAAUUACUGGGCGUAAAGGGUCCGUAGGCGGUGUGGCAAGUUGGUAGUGAAAUCUCUGGGCUUAACCCAGAGGCUGCUGCCAAAACUGCCGUGCUAGAGUGUGAGAGAGGCGAGUGGAAUUACGGGUGUAGCGGUGAAAUGCGUAGAUAUCCGUAGGAACAUCCGAGGCGAAGGCGGCUCGCUGGAUCACAACUGACGCUGAGGGACGAAAGCUAGGGGAGCAAACAGGAUUAGAUACCCUGGUAGUCCUAGCCCUAAACCAUCAGGACUUGGGGUGUGCCCUGUACGGGGCACGUCCCGUAGCUAACGCGUUAAGUCCUGCGCCUGGGGAGUACGGUCGCAAGGCUGAAACUCAAAUGAAUUGACGG